GACGAACGCUGGCGGCGUGCUUAACACAUGCAAGUCGAACGGGCCUGUCUUCUUUUUUGGGGGGUGGGUUGAGUGGCGAACGGGUGAGUAUCACGUGAGUAACCUGCCCUUCGGUCCUGGAUAACCGCUUGAAAGGGCGGCUAAUACGGGGUGGUCCGGUUGGUCCGCAUGGGCUGGUCGGGAUAGAUUCACUGUUUUUGGUGUUUCGGCGGGGGAUGGGCUCGCGGCCUAUCAGCUUGUUGGUGGGGUGAUGGCCUACCAAGGCGGUGACGGGUAGCCGGCCGGAGAGGGUGGGCGGCCACACUGGGACUGAGAUACGGCCCAGACUCCUGCGGGAGGCAGCAGUGGGGGGUAUUGCACAAUGGGCGGAAGCCUGAUGCAGCGACGUCGCGUGAGGGAGGGAGGCCUUCGGGUUGUGAACCUCUGUUUCCGGUGGUGAAGGCCCUGUCCGUGUGGUGGGGUUGACGGUAGCCGGGGAUGAAGCGCCGGCUAACUACGUG
This 500-nucleotide ribosomal RNA is filed under the name uncultured bacterium. RNAcentral's name for it is "partial 16S ribosomal RNA". It matches the Rfam family "Bacterial small subunit ribosomal RNA", at positions 28 to 507 of the family's 1533-position model. The record is from RNAcentral.